RNAcentral lists this ribosomal RNA (1580 nucleotides) under Allocebus trichotus (hairy-eared dwarf lemur). Its description in RNAcentral is "16S ribosomal RNA". It matches the Rfam family "Bacterial large subunit ribosomal RNA". The record is from RNAcentral. Lineage: Eukaryota; Metazoa; Chordata; Mammalia; Primates; Cheirogaleidae.
AACUAAUUUUAGCCUGAUCCUCCCACCUCACAACAAAACCAUAUUUUUAAACCAAAACAUUUACCACAACCAACAAUAGUAUAGGAGAUAGAAAUUAUAUUCAGCGCUAUAGAGGCAGUACCGCAAGGGAAAAAUGAAAGAAAUACUAAAAGUACAAAAAAGCAAAGCUAACCCCUUGUACCUUUUGCAUAAUGAUUUAACUAGAAUAUUCUGACAAAAAGAAUUUCAGCCAAAGAACCCGAAACUAGGCGAGCUACUCAUAAACAGCUAUAUAAGAGCACACUCAUCUAUGUGGCAAAAUAGUGAGAAGAUUUACGAGUAGAGGUGAAAAGCCUACCGAGCCCGGUGAUAGCUGGUUAUCCAGAAAAGAAUUUCAGUUCAACUUUAAAUUAACCUAAAGCAACAUCACAAGCCCUAUGUUAAUUUAAAUGUAAUUCUAAAGAGGGACAGCUCUUUAGACCAGGCCACAACCUUCAGUACAGAGUAAUAAACUUCAAUACCAUAGUUGGCCUAAAAGCAGCCACCAAUUAAGAAAGCGUUUAAGCUCAACACAUAAUAUUAACUAAAUUUCAUAAACCUAAAUACACCUCCUACUAAUUUACUGGAUCAAUCUAUUAUUUAAUAGAAGCAAUACUGUUAAUAUGAGUAACAAGAAUUUUUAAUUCUCCUUGCACAAGCUUAUACCAAACCGAAUGCCCGCUGGUAAUUAACGGCAAGAUAAAGCCAAUCACCCCAUAGACCCCUUAUCUAAGACAACCGUUAACCCAACACAGGUGUGCAUAAAGGAAAGAUCUAAAGAAGUAAAAGGAACUCGGCAAAACUUCAACCCCGCCUGUUUACCAAAAACAUCACCUCCAGCCUACACAAUAUUGGAGGCACUGCCUGCCCAGUGACAUGCGUUCAACGGCCGCGGUAUCCUGACCGUGCAAAGGUAGCAUAAUCACUUGUUCUUUAAUUAAGGACUUGAAUGAAUGGCUUCACGAGGGUUUAACUGUCUCUUACUUCCAAUCAGUGAAAUUGACCUCCCCGUGAAGAGGCGGGGAUACUAUAAUAAGACGAGAAGACCCUAUGGAGCUUAAAUAAAUUAACUCAAAUAAAUUUCUAAUAAUCUAUAAUAGACAUAAAUUCUAAUAGCUCAUGAGUUAAAUAUUUCGGUUGGGGUGACCUCGGAGCAUAACUCAACCUCCGAACAAUUCUUAACCUAGACAUAACCAGUCAAAGUAAACUAAAAUACAAAUUGACCCAAGCUAACUUGAUCAAUGGAACAAGUUACCCUAGGGAUAACAGCGCAAUCCUAUUUCAGAGUCCUUAUCGACAAUAGGGUUUACGACCUCGAUGUUGGAUCAAGACACCCUAAUGGUGCAGCCGCUAUUAACGGUCCGUUUGUUCAACGGUUAAAGUCUUACGUGAUCUGAGUUCAGACCGGAGUAAUCCAGGUCGGUUUCUAUCUAUUUAACUUUUCUCCCAGUACGAAAGGACAAGAGAAUAAAGGACCAACUCAAACUUAGUGUCCUCAGCAUAAUAGAUGAAACUAACUUAAUCUAAUAUGCUAACUUACGCCCUGCCCAAAACCAGGGUUU